CCUACGGGUGGCAGCAGUGAGGAAUAUUGGUCAAUGGUCGUAAGCCUGAACCAGCCAAGUAGCGUGCAGGAUGACGGCCCUAUGGGUGGUAAAACGCUUUUAGGCGGGGAUAACAGGCGUCACGUGUGUUGUUUUGUAGGUACCGUGUGACUAAGGACCGGCAAAUUCCGUGCCAGCUGCCGCGGUAAUACGGCAGGUCCGGGCGUUUUCCGGGUUUGUUGGGUGUAAAGGGAGGGUAGGCCGGAGGUUAAGCAUGCCUUGAAAUGCCGGGGUUCAACCCGGGCACUGCGGCGGAAACUGGCUUGCUUGAGUGCGCAGAACGUAGGCGGAAUUCGUGGUGUAGCGGUGAAAUGCAUAGAUAUCACGAAGAACCCCGAUUGCGAAGGCAGCAUACGGCAGCGCGACUGACGCUGAAGCUCGAAGGCGCGGGUAUCAAACAGGAUUAGAUACCCUAGUAGUC
This 460-nucleotide ribosomal RNA is filed under the name uncultured bacterium. Its description in RNAcentral is "partial 16S ribosomal RNA". It matches the Rfam family "Bacterial small subunit ribosomal RNA", at positions 338 to 795 of the family's 1533-position model. The record is from RNAcentral.